UACGUAGGGUGCGAGCGUUAAUCGGAAUUACUGGGCGUAAAGCGUGCGCAGGCGGUUUUGUAAGUCUGACGUGAAAUCCCCGGGCUUAACCUGGGAAUUGCGUUGGAGACUGCAAGGCUGGAGUCUGGCAGAGGGGGUAGAAUUCCACGUGUGAGCAGUGAAAUGCGUAGAGAUGUGGAGGAACACCGAUGGCGAAGGCAGCCCCCUGGGUCAAGACUGACGCUCAUGCACGAAAGCGUGGGGAGCAAACAGGG
Molecule: ribosomal RNA, 254 nt
Filed under: uncultured bacterium
Lineage: Bacteria
Description: partial 16S ribosomal RNA
Rfam family: Bacterial small subunit ribosomal RNA
Source: RNAcentral